GAUGAACGCUGGCGGCGUGCCUAAUACAUGCAAGUCGAGCGAACAGAUGAGGAGCUUGCUCCUCUGACGUUAGCGGCGGACGGGUGAGUAACACGUGGAUAACCUACCUAUAAGACUGGGAUCACUUCGGGAAACCGGAUCUAAUACCGGAUAAUAUAUUGAACCGCAUGGUUCAAUAGUGAAAGACGGUUUUGCUGUCACUUAUAGAUGGAUCCGCGCCGCAUUAGCUAGUUGGUAAGGUAACGGCUUACCAAGGCAACGAUGCGUAGCCGACCUGAGAGGGUGAUCGGCCACACUGGAACUGAGACACGGUCCAGACUCCUACGGGAGGCAGCAGUAGGGAAUCUUCCGCAAUGGGCGAAAGCCUGACGGAGCAACGCCGCGUGAGUGAUGAAGGUCUUCGGAUCGUAAAACUCUGUUAUUAGGGAAGAACAAAUGUGUAAGUAACUAUGCACGUCUUGACGGUACCUAAUCAGAAAGCCACGGCUAACUACGUG
Molecule: ribosomal RNA, 497 nt
Filed under: uncultured bacterium
Lineage: Bacteria
Description: partial 16S ribosomal RNA
Rfam family: Bacterial small subunit ribosomal RNA
Source: RNAcentral